GGGGCCUUAGCUCAGUUGGUAGAGCACCGGCUUUGCAAGCCGGGUGUCAGGGGUUCGAAUCCCCUAGGCUCCACCA
This 76-nucleotide transfer RNA is filed under the name Mycobacterium tuberculosis. RNAcentral's name for it is "tRNA-Ala(tgc)". It matches the Rfam family "tRNA". From Rfam's summary of the family: Transfer RNA (tRNA) molecules are approximately 80 nucleotides in length. Their secondary structure includes four short double-helical elements and three loops (D, anti-codon, and T loops). Lineage: Bacteria; Bacillati; Actinomycetota; Actinomycetes; Mycobacteriales; Mycobacteriaceae. RNAcentral also lists the same sequence under 43 other names. The record is from RNAcentral.